RNAcentral lists this ribosomal RNA (253 nucleotides) under uncultured bacterium. RNAcentral describes it as "partial 16S ribosomal RNA". It matches the Rfam family "Bacterial small subunit ribosomal RNA", at positions 524 to 776 of the family's 1533-position model. The record is from RNAcentral.
UACGUAGGGGGCAAGCGUUGUCCGGAAUCAUUGGGCGUAAAGAGCGUGUAGGCGGCUCGGUAAGUCCGCUGUGAAAGUCCAGGGCUCAACCCUGGAAUGCCGGUGGAAACUGUCGAGCUAGAGUCCGGAAGAGGCGAGUGGAAUUCCUGGUGUAGCGGUGAAAUGCGCAGAUAUCAGGAGGAACACCUAUGGCGAAGGCAGCUCGCUGGGACGGUACUGACGCUGAGACGCGAAAGCGUGGGGAGCGAACAGG